This 967-nucleotide ribosomal RNA is filed under the name bacterium enrichment culture clone DB125. RNAcentral describes it as "bacterial SSU rRNA". It matches the Rfam family "Bacterial small subunit ribosomal RNA", at positions 56 to 1028 of the family's 1533-position model. The record is from RNAcentral.
UGCAGCCGAGCGGUAGAGAGUAGCUUGCUACUCUUGAGAGCGGCGCACGGGUGCGUAACAUGUGUGCAACCUACCUUUAUCUGGGGGAUAGCCUUUCGAAAGGAAGAUUAAUACCCCAUAAUAUAUUGACUGGCAUCAGUUGAUAUUGAAAACUCCGGUGGAUAGAGAUGGGCACGCGCAAGAUUAGAUAGUUGGUGAGGUAACGGCUCACCAAGUCAAUGAUCUUUAGGGGUCCUGAGAGGGAGAUCCCCCACACUGGUACUGAGACACGGACCAGACUCCUACGGGAGGCAGCAGUGGGGAAUAUUGCACAAUGGGUGAGAGCCUGAUCCAGCCAUCCCGCGUGAAGGAUGACGGCCCUAUGGGUUGUAAACUUCUUUUGUACAGGGAUAAACCUACCCUCGUGAGGGUAGCUGAAGGUACUGUACGAAUAAGCACCGGCUAACUCCGUGCCAGCAGCCGCGGUAAUACGGAGGGUGCAAGCGUUAUCCGGAUUUAUUGGGUUUAAAGGGUCCGUAGGCGGAUCUGUAAGUCAGUGGUGAAAUCUCGCAGCUUAACUGCGAAACUGCCAUUGAUACUGCAGGUCUUGAGUAAAUUUGAAGUGGCUGGAAUAAGUAGUGUAGCGGUGAAAUGCAUGGAUAUUACUUAGAACACCAAUUGCGAAGGCAGGUCACUAAGAUUUAACUGACGCUGAGGGACGAAAGCGUGGGGAGCGAACAGGAUUAGAUACCCUGGUAGUCCACGCCGUAAACGAUGCUAACUCGUUUUUGGAGCGCAAGCUUCAGAGACCAAGCGAAAGUGAUAAGUUAGCCACCUGGGGAGUACGUUCGCAAGAAUGAAACUCAAAGGAAUUGACGGGGGCCCGCACAAGCGGUGGAUUAUGUGGUUUAAUUCGAUGAUACGCGAGGAACCUUACCAAGACUUAAAUGGGAAUUGACAGAUUUAGAAAUAGAUCCUUCUUCGGACA